UCUCCUCAGCAAUAGCAGCUGCGCCGCUUCGCUACAAUUAACCAUGUUACCAACAGCGGUAGAGUUGAUCGUCAGCUGGCCAAUGGAGCAUAGUCAUAGAGCGUUCUAGCGGAGACUCCAGCGAUGUCGGCUACAAACAAACAAUGCCUGUGCCAGUGGCAGUAAUUGCUGAGAGGAAAUAAUAGCAGAUUCGUUGCUAGGGUAGCCAGGCUGUCAGGGUUGCAGUAGGAGAUUGGGUUACGACUACAAGCAGCGCUUCUUCUAUGCCUUGAAUGCCUGUUUUAGGAUCGAAACGUUUUCACUCGCACAGCACCAGUCAGACUUGGGCCUACUUUCGUUUGCAUACCGAAGUCGAAUUUACCCUGAGGAAAUUUUAAGGUUCCACAUCGAUGAAAGUCCCGACGGGCUGCCAGAAUCAGAAAUUUUCCUGAGUCAUCGACACUACAUCGUUCAGUAGAUCCAAUGAUGGCGCUUGUUCCUUCGAUUUAAACGAAUUCACUUCGAAGCAGCACAACCCAAUGAGAAAUUCAAUAUAACCACUGACGAUCUGCUAAGCCAUCUGAGAGGCGCAUAGACUGGCCUGACUGCUCUGAUGAACGUUGUUGUUGUGACUAUCCUGAACACCGUUCAGACCAAGAGUUGAUGAGUGUCUGACGUGAUGGCGAAGUAUUUAUUUGCUGAGGUUUACAUGUUGGACAUGGUGGAAGGGACGUUGUUAAGAUUCGUAUAGUAAGCGGUACGCAGAGCGAUGACAACGUACAUUUCUUUAUUUAGCAUAACGAGUUUACGUUGUCUCAGCUGCCCUGCCAAAGGGACCGUGGCGAAUGUUCAGCCUGAUGUACAGUUGAGGGCUAAUGAUACGUGUGAAUAUGUAACGUUAACUGUUUCUUUACAUUAAACAAAACUAUAAUACAAAUCUGAAGAAAUAUAACAGUAUACAAUGAUGUAUGUAUUGAAUAAAGUGAUAAUAAGUGUCAAUCGCCCCUGUUGCCUAUUGGUUUUUGAUGCUGGGCACAAGCUCCGCCCCGGGCAAUGUGGUAUCCGAUAAACUGAGACACAUUUGUCUGCGACAUACCAGACGGAAAAACAGUCCAUCGAAUAGUAACACGGUUUGACCUCUAUGUACCAGGUCUUGCCGAGACUAUUACUUAAUCUGCGAGUUGAAAACGUAUUUAAGUUGUCUAAUAGCAACGAAGAAUAGAACUUUAGUAGUCUUCUGAAUAGUUUCCCCUGACAACAACAUAUCUGCUUACGCUCGGUUGGUGUGUAAUCGCCAAAUCUGGGACCCUAAAGAAAGGAAGACGUUAUCAUUAUUCAAAUGAUAACGUCUUCAUAACUUAAGAUUUUAGUGAACUGCUCGUUUCACGGAUUAGAAAGUCAAAGCAAAAAUCCAGCUGCAGGUAGCAUGUAGCAUACCGAUUGUAAAUGGCAUUUUCUUUUUAUUCUGUGUUGAGCGCUACUGCAAUUAAAUGCGCCGAAAUAUUUAAAUAUAGAAUAUAUAGCAAAAAAUCACAAUUUAAUUGCUUCAGAUAAUCGGUAGCAUGAAGCUGCGGAAGUACUCUCACACGCUUUACGAGCUAAUACGAGUCGGAUUUCGUAAUCCUUUCAAAAACGAAACUUUAUCAAGGGUAAUAAUUAUAAAAUGUUAAAUAAUUACCAAUAUAUGACCUUGUCCAAUCGACGACGACGAAUGGUUUCCUAAGCUCCCAUUUUACUAGUUAUCCGGAACAAACGCCAUGCAACGAUUCCGUCGAGCCGUUUUAGUUAAAACUCAAAGGCGAUAAUAACAUCUAGUACUUCCUUCUCAUAUAUUACGUUUCUGUUUAUGAACGAGAAUAUUACUUCUCGGAACUGGCCACCUACCACCAUAUACCGCGGAAGGUGGCUGUUUUCUAUAUCAGCUCUGACCAGUUGAAACGGAACCUGAAACAGAUUCAUAAUGACACCGAAUCACAACAUAAAAGUGUUACGUCACUUCAAUGCAAUCGCCAGUUAAUUUACCUAAGAUAACGAUAAUGCGUCGGACGCAGCCUCUCGCUUCCUCUGCUUGAACGACCUGCCUCACCGGCAAGUAAAACUGUGAAGAACUCCAUAAGGAAAAUAGGCAUGUGUGUUCUUACAUCCACUGAAGGUAUCCACUUCAAAGUCAAAAGACGCAAACUACUAGCAAGCAUUAAUCAAGCAUGUCUCGAUGAUUCUCGUUAUUCGUGUUCAGCAUUGGCAGUUGGUUUCAACAAGCAACAUGUCCGUUUAGGAACUCACAAAG
RNAcentral lists this long non-coding RNA (2266 nucleotides) under Varroa destructor (honeybee mite). Its description in RNAcentral is "uncharacterized LOC111248709". The record is from RNAcentral. Lineage: Eukaryota; Metazoa; Arthropoda; Arachnida; Mesostigmata; Varroidae.